UGCACACUUUCACUGCAUGUCAGGUUUAAAGCCCCAAAAAUGUAUUUAGUUGAUGAAUCUUAAAAUUGGUAUAAAAUUUUACAAAAAGUUUAUGAAAAUUAUUGUGUACCCUCAUCUGUAUUCAAUGUAUAAGAAAAAUGUUACCACUUUUUACUUGACGAUUACACUACAUGACAAUUUUAUUUUAUUAUUUUUUUUUAUUUUUUAUUUUUUUUAAGUUUUUCAAAACCAUACAAACAUUUCUAAGAACUUGUCAUUGACCAUUUAUGAUUACGGGUUUGUUCAAAUGAACAAUACAAAUAGUGUUACCUGUCUUAGUAAGCACCAUUAACUAACCUGAAAACGUUAGUGUGGAAAUACUGGGAGAAGCAAUUCUUAUUAAAGAUAGACUGGACGCUCCUACCCCUGCAAUCAUAUGUGCAGGUGAUCAUGAUAAUUACCCUUCUACAAUACCACUUAAUCAGUGGGGUGUCAAACUAGUCUGAUCUAAACUGCUUUCCCUACAGGCCUGCUGAAUGGCUUCGUUUACCCUUCAGGCACAACCUUAAAUUAUCUCCUUGCAUGUAAUCACUGCAAUGUGAUUAAAAUAAACGCUUUGCCUACACAUGCACUACAUUUCAACAGAAUUAACAGCUUUGGGAGGAACAAGUGGUGAUAAUUGUGGUGUUUUGGGCCAUCUUUUGUGGAGACAGAAGGAUCUCAUGCAAGCACAGAGAAAACAUCGCAGUUCAGAGGGUAUGAGCUCAGGGCUUCGCAACGCACAAUACGAUAAAUGCGUUGCCAUGCCUACACAGGCACUGGGCCAAAAGGGUGGGAAGAAAGAUCGCACACAGCUGAAGUUCAUCUACUGAACGUUUUAGCCAUUUGAACCUGAAGAAAACUUUUUACGCGUUGAUAAAUGUUCUGUGGCGGGAGCGAAGCGAUGUGAAAAGUGAAGUCAAUAGGCUUUGCUGUAUAGCAGUCGUGAUGCACUCAGGCUCAAAGGAAGAUUUCACUUCUACCUCAACAGUUUUUGAUCUGAUUUCUGAGGUGAUGUUCUGAGAGGCUGAAAGGAAAGGUCAGGUUAUGACAAGCCGAGAAACGUCAUUUCAGGCACUCUCUUCCAAAGAAGGCAAUAACCGAAGUACAUUAAGGUUUCAGACUUCACUUUUUCAGACACCAUACCUUUUUUUUGAAAAUUUCUUUUUAAUAGGUAUGAGGAAAAAAAAAAAAAAAAACAGACCACAUACUCACAUUCAGUUAAAGGUUUCUUUUUCAAAACAAAAUCCAUUAAAAUGGACAAUAUACAUUUAUAACACUUGUACCACAAGUUUAAAGAAAACCUUGCGGUAAAGUAAUAAGGUUGACAAAAGUAUUGAGAAGCAAGAUAAAUACACAAAAUCAUUGUGUACAUUUCUGAAGGAUGAUCUUUGAGUCCCCAAGAGCAGGCUGGGAUUGGUUUAACUUCUUGUGUCAAACCACAGACAGAUCCCAGUCCUGACCAUACAGGUCCAUGUCAAUUCAUAGCAAUGAAUCUCACUGGCCACUUUCUUGUCCAAGCAUCUUUUUUAACUUUUUAAAUUUGUUUUUCCCUAUUCUUUUCUUCCUCAAAUUCCUCCUUUUCGCU
This is a long non-coding RNA of Ctenopharyngodon idella (grass carp), 1606 nucleotides long. RefSeq lists it as uncharacterized. The record is from RefSeq and is a predicted model, not a curated record. NCBI's taxonomy places the organism in Eukaryota, Metazoa, Chordata, Actinopteri, Cypriniformes, Xenocyprididae. The transcript is spliced from 2 exons.